RNAcentral lists this ribosomal RNA (517 nucleotides) under Vibrio parahaemolyticus. RNAcentral's name for it is "partial 23S ribosomal RNA". It matches the Rfam family "Bacterial large subunit ribosomal RNA", at positions 1397 to 1898 of the family's 2925-position model. The record is from RNAcentral. Lineage: Bacteria; Pseudomonadati; Pseudomonadota; Gammaproteobacteria; Vibrionales; Vibrionaceae.
CGAGGCCGAAAGGCGUAGUCGAUGGGAAACGGGUUAAUAUUCCCGUACUUCUUACAAUUGCGAUGGGGGGGACGGAGAAGGCUAGGUGGGCCUGGCGACGGUUGUCCAGGUUCAAGUGCGUAGGCUUAAGAGUUAGGUAAAUCCGGCUCUUUUUAAGGCUGAGACACGACGUCGAGCACCUACGGGUGUGAAGUCAUUGAUGCCAUGCUUCCAGGAAAAGCCUCUAAGCUUCAGAUUGUAAGGAAUCGUACCCCAAACCGACACAGGUGGUCGGGUAGAGAAUACCAAGGCGCUUGAGAGAACUCGGGUGAAGGAACUAGGCAAAAUGGUACCGUAACUUCGGGAGAAGGUACGCUCUCGACGGUGAAGUCCCUCGCGGAUGGAGCUAUUGAGAGUCGCAGAUACCAGGUGGCUGCAACUGUUUAUUAAAAACACAGCACUGUGCAAAAUCGUAAGAUGACGUAUACGGUGUGACGCCUGCCCGGUGCCGGAAGGUUAAUUGAUGGGGUUAGACUUC